AAAGCUGGCCCACCAUGCUAUACUGUCCCUCAAAGUAAGAAAGCCACCCUGAGUUGUCUCCAAGAUCCUUAUUAUUCCGUGAAUUCCCUGCUUCCCCCAGGCCUUCAGGGCCCAGUGAUUUCACGAAGAGGGCAUUUCAGCUUGGGCUCAUCCUCCAAGUGUCCCGUAUAAACAAGGUAACAGCUUUAUCACAGCCUGGGUUCACAGCCGGACUCUGUCCCUAUCAGCGCCAUGACCUUGUGGGAGAGAGCUUCCAUCACAUGGUACCAGAGGAAUCUCCACCCAACAGUUGUCAUGAGGAUUAAACGAGAUCACAGACUAGAUCAAUUGCAGAUCACAGGGCUUGAUGCCUCGUGGCUGGAAGCAAACACCAAUCCCACCAAAAGAAGUCCGUGCAGAUGGUGGGAGUGGGCAGAAGGGGAGGGGGCUUCUUGAGGGAGAACUGGGAAGGCUCCUUAGAGGAGGUCAUGGUUUAAGCAUCAGCUGAUGACAGUUACGAGUACAGCUCGACAACCAAGAGUGUUUUCAGGCGCUGGGAGGGGCAGGGCAGCAGUGGGAAGAACGGCGGCGUGGAGUGGGUCUGGGUCCUGGUUCCCACCCCCUGCUCUUUGUGCUGCAGUUGGGCCUCAGCUUCCACAUCUGUAAAAUUGGAACAAUAAUAUUGAUGGUACCUGGACCACGUGGGAGCGUGCAGGCCCCCGCCGCCCGGGUCUGCUGCAGGGAAGGUUCCGCUAUCUGCUCCCACUCCACAUGCUGAUGUGGGCCAAACCCUGGGCCUUUGAAGCAUCCUUGUUUCCUCCUUUUGAGCUGCCGUGUCAUUUGCUGAACUUCCAGUGUUGACGACAUACCCCAGACCUUCAGAGCUGGAAAAAAGACAGAACUUAGCCAUCCACUAGUGCAGCCUCCCAUUUCACAGACAGGAAACCCAAGGCUCAGAGAGGGGAAGUCAUGGCACUCCCAGGCCCUGACCUCCAGCUUUUCCCAAGACCACAACAGCCCCUCCCAACCCGGACCCACCUAGCAAGAACUGCACCGAAGCUGGAGGCAAUUAGCCAGAUGGUUCCAGCCAAAGGAUCUAAAAAAUUCUGGCUAAGAAACACAAGCUUCUGGACUACUUGCAGAUCUGAAGCAAAAGCCUUUUUUGCCCUCAUUUUAAUUACAAUUCCAUAGGCGACAGCUUCACCUUCUCCUCUAGAGCUGAGCUCUGAACAAGCUUGCUGGGGGGCGGGAGGCAUGCUGAGAACGGGGCUCUGAGCUCCAGCAGCUCACAGAUUGUGGCCACCAGGACAUUUUCGCACUUCUUACUGCCAAAAGCUGCCAUGGAAGUGGAUCUGCUCCCAAAGUGGGCUUUCAAAGAGUGGCGGGAGGCCCUGGAUGAUCCUGAAAUCUGUGUGCUCAGGCUGAUCUCAGACACAGGGGGUGGAAGUUGGUUUCAGCAAAAGGACACUGGGGCCAGAGCAACUGGCAGAGACUGGGGGUGCUGCGGGUGACCGUCUUGGCCACUGAGCAAGUGCCAGACCGUUCUGGUCUCCUUUUCCUCAUCCAUAAGAUGGGGAUAACGGCCUCCUUCCAGAGCUGUGAGGAUAUGGGGAGAUGGCAUAUGGGGGUAAAGCCAGGCAGAGAGCCAGUGAUUAACAGCAAGAGUUGCUCUUGG
This is a non-coding RNA of Vicugna pacos (alpaca), 1654 nucleotides long. Lineage: Eukaryota; Metazoa; Chordata; Mammalia; Artiodactyla; Camelidae. The record is from RefSeq and is a predicted model, not a curated record.